GCCUACGGGGGGCAGCAGUGAGGAAUAUUGGUCAAUGGCCGAGAGGCUGAACCAGCCAAGUCGCGUGAGGGAAGACGGCCCUACGGGUUGUAAACCUCUUUUGUCGGGGAGCAAAGCGAGUCACGUGCGACUCAUUGAGAGUACCCGAAGAAAAAGCAUCGGCUAACUCCGUGCCAGCAGCCGCGGUAAUACGGAGGAUGCGAGCGUUAUCCGGAUUUAUUGGGUUUAAAGGGUGCGCAGGCGGAAGCGCAAGUCAGCGGUAAAAUUGAGAGGCUCAACCUCUUCCCGCCGUUGAAACUGCGUGU
Molecule: ribosomal RNA, 305 nt
Filed under: uncultured bacterium
Lineage: Bacteria
Description: bacterial SSU rRNA
Rfam family: Bacterial small subunit ribosomal RNA
Source: RNAcentral